RNAcentral lists this ribosomal RNA (311 nucleotides) under uncultured bacterium. RNAcentral describes it as "bacterial SSU rRNA". It matches the Rfam family "Bacterial small subunit ribosomal RNA", at positions 28 to 334 of the family's 1533-position model. The record is from RNAcentral.
GAUGAACGCUAGCGGCAGGCUUAACACAUGCAAGUCGAGGGGUAACAGGGAUUGCUUGCAAUCCGCUGACGACCGGCGCACGGGUGCGUAACGCGUAUACAAUUUGCCUUAUACAGAGGGAUAGCCUUUAGAAAUGAAGAUUAAUACCUCAUGGUCUAUUAGAAUCGCAUGGUUUUAAUAGUAAAGAUUUAUCGGUAUAAGAUGAGUAUGCGUUCUAUUAGCUAGUAGGUAAGGUAACGGCUUACCUAGGCGACGAUAGAUAGGGGUCCUGAGAGGGAGAUCCCCCACACUGGUACUGAGACACGGACCAG